GCGGGGAUGCCGGAGCGGUCAAACGGGACAGACUCAAGAUCUGUUGGCACAUGCCUUCAAGGGUUCGAAUCCCUUUCCCCGCA
RNAcentral lists this transfer RNA (83 nucleotides) under Nanobdellota archaeon. Its description in RNAcentral is "tRNA-Leu". It matches the Rfam family "tRNA". From Rfam's summary of the family: Transfer RNA (tRNA) molecules are approximately 80 nucleotides in length. Their secondary structure includes four short double-helical elements and three loops (D, anti-codon, and T loops). Lineage: Archaea; Nanobdellati; Nanobdellota. The record is from RNAcentral.